GAUGAACGCUAGCGGCAGGCCUAAUACAUGCAAGUCGAGGGGCAGCACGGUAGCAAUACUGGUGGCGACCGGCGCACGGGUGCGUAACGCGUAUGCGACUUACCCUUUACAGGGAGAUAGCCCGGAGAAAUUCGGAUUAAUAUCCCAUAGUAUAUAGAUUUGGCAUCAGAUUUAUAUUAAAGAUUUAUCGGUAAAGGAUGGGCAUGCGUGUCAUUAGCUAGUUGGUGAGGUAACGGCUCACCAAGGCGACGAUGACUAGGGGUACUGAGAGGUUACACCCCCACACUGGUACUGAGACACGGACCAGACUCCUACGGGAGGCAGCAGUAAGGAAUAUUGGACAAUGGGCGAGAGCCUGAUCCAGCCAUGCCGCGUGCAGGAUGACGGUCCUAUGGAUUGUAAACUGCUUUUGUAUGGGAAAUAAACCCAGGUACGUGUACCUGGCUGAAUGUACCAUAAGAAUAAGGAUCGGCUAACUCCGUGCCAGCAGCCGCGGUAAUACGGAGGAUCCAAGCGUUAUCCGGAUUUAUUGGGUUUAAAGGGUGCGUAGGCGGGACAGUAAGUCAGUGGUGAAAUCCUAUCGCUUAACGAUAGAAUUGCCAUUGAUACUGCUGACCUUGAGUACAAAUGAUGUGGGCGGAAUGUGCAGUGUAGCGGUGAAAUGCUUAGAUAUUGCACAGAACACCGAUAGCGAAGGCAGCUCACAAAAAUUGCAACUGACGCUGAGGCACGAAAA
Molecule: ribosomal RNA, 736 nt
Filed under: uncultured bacterium
Lineage: Bacteria
Description: bacterial SSU rRNA
Rfam family: Bacterial small subunit ribosomal RNA
Source: RNAcentral